This 497-nucleotide ribosomal RNA is filed under the name uncultured bacterium. RNAcentral's name for it is "partial 16S ribosomal RNA". It matches the Rfam family "Bacterial small subunit ribosomal RNA", at positions 28 to 507 of the family's 1533-position model. The record is from RNAcentral.
GACGAACGCUGGCGGCGUGCCUAAUACAUGCAAGUUGAGCGCUGAAGGUUGGUACUUGUACCAACUGGAUGAGCAGCGAACGGGUGAGUAACGCGUGGGGAAUCUGCCUUUGAGCGGGGGACAACAUUUGGAAACGAAUGCUAAUACCGCAUAAAAACUUUAAACACAAGUUUUAAGUUUGAAAGAUGCAAUUGCAUCACUCAAAGAUGAUCCCGCGUUGUAUUAGCUAGUUGGUGAGGUAAAGGCUCACCAAGGCGAUGAUACAUAGCCGACCUGAGAGGGUGAGCGGCCACAUUGGGACUGGGACACGGCCCAAACUCCUACGGGAGGCAGCAGUAGGGAAUCUUCGGCAAUGGACGAAAGUCUGACCGAGCAACGCCGCGUGAGUGAAGAAGGUUUUCGGAUCGUAAAACUCUGUUGGUAGAGAAGAACGUUGGUGAGAGUGGAAAGCUCAUCAAGUGACGGUAACUACCCAGAAAGGGACGGCUAACUACGUG